GAUGAACGCUAGCGAUAGGCUUAACACAUGCAAGUCGAGGGGUAACGUGUUGGAAGCUUGCUUCCGAUGACGACGACCGGCGGAUGGGUGCGUAACGCGUAUGCAACUUGCCUCACAGUGGAGAAUAACCCGGAGAAAUCCGGACUAAUACUCCAUACACUCUUAAGUACGCCUGUACAUGAGAUGAAAGGUUUAUCGCUGUGAGAUAGGCAUGCGUCCUAGUAGGUAGUUGGUGAGGUAACGGCUCACCAAGCCGACGAUAGGUAGGGGUGCUGAGAGGCAGAUCCCCCACAUGGGGACUGAGACACGGCCCAAACUCCUACGGGAGGCAGCAGUGAGGAAUAGUAGUCAAUGGAGGAAACUCUGAACCAGCCAAGUCGCGUGAAGGAAGAAUGUCCUAAGGAUUGUAAACUUCUUUAGCGAGCGAGUAAGGACUUCCACGUGAUGGGAGUUUGAAAGUAGCUCGAGAAUAAGUAUCGGCUAACUCCGUG
This 491-nucleotide ribosomal RNA is filed under the name uncultured bacterium. RNAcentral's name for it is "partial 16S ribosomal RNA". It matches the Rfam family "Bacterial small subunit ribosomal RNA", at positions 28 to 507 of the family's 1533-position model. The record is from RNAcentral.